This 151-nucleotide non-coding RNA is filed under the name Brucella abortus. RNAcentral's name for it is "speF". It matches the Rfam family "speF leader". Rfam says of the family: This family is a putative regulatory RNA structure that is found upstream of the speF gene encoding ornithine decarboxylase in Agrobacterium tumefaciens and other alpha-proteobacteria. RNAcentral also lists the same sequence under 1 other name. The record is from RNAcentral. Lineage: Bacteria; Pseudomonadati; Pseudomonadota; Alphaproteobacteria; Hyphomicrobiales; Brucellaceae.
UUUCGGCUGUCCAAAAGUCGAAAUUACUGAAGAGGCACACCUUCAUUGCCAGAAGUGCGGAUGCGGUUCUCCAAUUCCAAGCCAAGGCAGACAAAGCGGAGUAACGCUUAGUUUAGCGUUGUUCCAUCGCCGCAUAAAGUUUUCGCGUGAC